Molecule: long non-coding RNA, 735 nt
Organism: Neodiprion fabricii
Lineage: Eukaryota; Metazoa; Arthropoda; Insecta; Hymenoptera; Diprionidae
Exons: 3
Source: RefSeq, a predicted model, not a curated record
AUUAUCAUAGGAAUUGAUUUUUUGUAAAUAUUGUUUGUUACUACAGUGCACUUUUGCAGGCUUUGAUUUUUUGUAAAUAUUCUUUGACAUAAGUGACCCAGUGAAUACUCGAUUAUUGUUUUCACUCUAAUCCUCACAGUUGUCUUAUAGCAAAACCGACUUCGAGACGACCAUAAUUAAAAACAAGUUUCACGAUGUAAUUCAGAUCAAUACAAUCAUUAUUUUGUCGUUAUCCUUGGCAUUGAUUUAUUGUAAAUAUUCUACAAAACCACAGUGCAGUUUAAAAUGGGUGCGCAAGUUUUUUAUCUUCUUCAUUGCAAUACUUGAAGAAUAAAUGAAGUUUAGAGAAAAGCAGGUUUCUGGAAAUCCACGCAAAUUCGAAAUAUUUUCGAAGUUACAGAAGAAAUAGUGAGCAAGCGUCGAGCAGGUAUACGAGCGGUGUUUUGAAGUUUUCAACCAGUUUUUUGAAGAGUCUGCACCAGUUUUUUGAAGUUUUGAACCAGUUUCUUGAAGAGUCUGAAGGGCAACUCUAUGGACCAGGAAUCGCUGAUUAGCAUAUUAAUGCGAUGGAUAUUGCGACCUUUCCCACCGCACGACAAAUGCACACUCGAGACGCCUCGGUGAAAUGCUUGUACCAGGCAUAAUAUGACAUAUAUCUUAACGAAAAAAUUUAAGAAGACUGCUGAAAUAUACAACAAUAAAACCUGAAAGUUUCGUUUCAAUCGGAUAUUUCUU